GUGUCAGCCGCCGCGGUAAUACGGAGGGUGCAAGCGUUGUCCGGAAUCACUGGGUGUAAAGGGUGUGUAGGCGGGGCUGUAAGUCAGAGGUGAAAUCCCACGGCUCAACCGUGGAACUGCCUUUGAUACUGCAGCUCUUGAGUCCCGGAGAGGUGGCUGGAAUUCGUGGUGUAGCGGUGAAAUGCGUAGAUAUCACGAGGAACACCAGAGGUGUAGACGGGUCACUGGACGGGUACUGACGCUGAGGCACGAAAGCGUGGGGAGCAAACAGGAUUAGAUACCCGGGUAGUCCUGGCCGUAAACGAUGGAUGCUAGAGGUGGGCGGGGAGACCCGUCCGUGUCGCAAGCUAACGCGUUAAGCAUCCCGCCUGGGGAGUACGGCCGCAAGGUUAAAACUCAAAGGAAUUGACGGGG
RNAcentral lists this ribosomal RNA (414 nucleotides) under uncultured prokaryote. Its description in RNAcentral is "bacterial SSU rRNA". It matches the Rfam family "Bacterial small subunit ribosomal RNA", at positions 505 to 918 of the family's 1533-position model. The record is from RNAcentral.